RNAcentral lists this long non-coding RNA (734 nucleotides) under Monodelphis domestica (gray short-tailed opossum). RNAcentral's name for it is "lncRNA (ENSMODG00000039207.1)". Lineage: Eukaryota; Metazoa; Chordata; Mammalia; Didelphimorphia; Didelphidae. The record is from RNAcentral.
AUGGCUAAAACUGUGUCCUUUACUCAUUCAGGUGAAUCUGUUUGUUUCCUUGUUUAUCCCUUGAGGAUACUGAAAGCACCCUCAAUAAUACUUGAUGGCUCUGAAGACUCAGGCACAGAUCAUCAAUGGGAUUUGCUGGUGAAGCUGUUUGUGACUGUAACAAAUCAAAAUGACCAAAUUUUCAGGUAUGUUCCAUUCUGUUAUAGUUACAGCUCUAAUGCAGAAUUUGAAUUGCUCACAUAAUUCUCACUUUACUUAACACCCCAUAGGGCUUGCAAAUCUGAGGAAACAGUCAACAUUGACAGUGAGUAAGUGAAUUGAAUGGACCAAACUAAUGAUUGAUGGAUCUCAUCAACGAUCCGAUCCUCGAGCCACAGAACCACCCACAGAUGUCACCCAAAGAUGGAGUUUUGCUGUCAACACACCACCUGCUUUUUUUGCUGCUUAUUCUAGGAGCCAAAAGUUAUAGUAUAUUCAUAGUGCAUUUUAUAGGACUUCAAACUGAAAAUCAUAAAUGAAGCCUUCAUCUGCUCUUGUGAAACAUAUACACUGAAAUAAUGUUUUUCUCCUCUCAUACAUGCAGUUUAGCUCUUGCCCAAUAAUACCUAAUAACUUUCCUUUGUAGUGUUGUUAAAAAUAGAAAGAAAUAUUUCCAUUUGUAUCUGGCAUAGGUAUUUGAGGACAUAGAUUUCAUCGGUAAAAAUGGCCAAAAUAAAUGUCAUCUGGUGUUUACA